RNAcentral lists this small RNA (141 nucleotides) under Arabidopsis thaliana (thale cress). RNAcentral's name for it is "ATSL135020". The record is from RNAcentral. Lineage: Eukaryota; Viridiplantae; Streptophyta; Magnoliopsida; Brassicales; Brassicaceae.
GGUUGAGCCACCAACAAGGACAACAUCAUCGAUUGAGUUCUUGUCCAUCUUAGCAUCACGAAGACACUUCUCAACAGGCUCCAUACACUUUCUGAAGAGAUCUAUGUUAAGCUCCUCGAAUCUGGCACGGGUGAUAGGAGC